AUGAAAGAUGCAGUCUCUAAUGCAGAUGAUGUCUUGGAUGAAUUUGAUUAUAUGCUUUUAAAAGAAAUGGCUGAGCAAAAAGACCUUCUCAGACGCAUAGCCUCCUCUUCCUUCACUACUGUCAAGCGUUUGGUCAAUAUUGACAAGUUUAGGUCAGAACUGCGGAAGGUCCUCAAAAGCUUGGAGAGAGUUAGAACUUCUGCAGAGAUGUUUGUCCGAGUGAUGACACUGGAGAGCGAUAAACCCAUUCAGUCUCUUCAGUGUGUCCCAACAAGAACCACUGGGUCCUUUUUGUAUGAAGAUGCCAUUUUUGGGCGAGAAAAGGAGAUACGUGAGCUCGUGGGUCAGCUCGUGUAUAAAUCUGAUGAAUGUUCACUAAGCAAUGAGCAAAAGUUUAGGACUGGGGUGCACAGUAUUGUUGGUGUUGGUGGGAUCGGCAAGACUACUCUGGCUCAGCUGGUCUAUAAGGAUGAGCGCAUCGUGGAUUCUUUUGAUGUCAGAAUGUGGGUUAGUGUUUCCGGUAACUUCGACAAAACUAGAGUUAUCAAAGAGAUCAUAGCAUACAGAACUGAUGGUGAGAGUGCUGAAUUGGCCAAUUUUAAUUUCAGCUGGCUCCAGUCAGAACUUCAAUGGAGACUUAGUUCCAAGAGGUUUCUCUUAGUGUUGGAUGAUGUGUGGUACGAUGAGAAACAUGGAGAACACAUCAACAAACAAAUGUGGAUGGAAAUAAUUGCUCCUAUUAAGGAAAGUUCUGUAAUAUCUGGAAGUAAGGUUCUAGUGACAACCCGGACAGAAUUGGUUGCAAAAAUGCUGGACUCUAGAAGCUUGUUCACUUUACAAGGUUUGAAAGGAGAUGAUAGUUGGUUACUGUUCAGACAGUGUGCAUUUGGCAGCAGUAAGCCAGAAGGUUAUCCAGAGUUGAAGCAGUUAGGAUACCAAAUUGUUCAGAAACUUAAAGGCUCACCUCUAGCACUAAAGGUUAUCAGAGGACAUUAA
Molecule: ribosomal RNA, 996 nt
Filed under: Triticum aestivum (bread wheat)
Lineage: Eukaryota; Viridiplantae; Streptophyta; Magnoliopsida; Poales; Poaceae
Description: partial small subunit ribosomal RNA
Source: RNAcentral